CUUUUGUGGGGUGCUCGAGUGGCGAACGGGUGAGUAACACGUGAGUAACCUGCCCUUGACUUUGGGAUAACUUCAGGAAACUGGGGCUAAUACCGGAUAGGAGCUCCUGCUGCAUGGUGGGGGUUGGAAAGUUUCGGCGGUUGGGGAUGGACUCGCGGCUUAUCAGCUUGUUGGUGGGGUAGUGGCUUACCAAGGCUUUGACGGGUAGCCGACCUGAGGGGGUGACCGGCCACAUUGGGACUGAGACACGGCCCAG
RNAcentral lists this ribosomal RNA (256 nucleotides) under uncultured Actinomycetales bacterium. RNAcentral describes it as "partial 16S ribosomal RNA". It matches the Rfam family "Bacterial small subunit ribosomal RNA", at positions 77 to 334 of the family's 1533-position model. Lineage: Bacteria; Bacillati; Actinomycetota; Actinomycetes; Actinomycetales. The record is from RNAcentral.